Molecule: long non-coding RNA, 1240 nt
Organism: Homo sapiens (human)
Lineage: Eukaryota; Metazoa; Chordata; Mammalia; Primates; Hominidae
Source: Ensembl
ACCCAGUUGAUCAUCAGAGAGCCAGAAUGAAACAACCACAUAAUAAGGCAGAUAUUGGAAAUUCUUAAAAUGAUGAGCGUCUUCCCAAACUGGAAAUAAUUGAUGAGGAAUAUUUUAAACCCUGGAAGCAAAGAGAUUUCAAAAGGAGAUGCAAUUUUAAAGACACUCAUCUAUGGAGUGCCCCAAAUGCACUAGGACUGCACAGGCUGUGUGGGGAACUCAAGGUUGAAAAAGAUAUAUCCUUGGCCCUCAGGAAGACUACAGCCAGGAGAGAAGGGGCUGUGUCUCCACUCCUCUUUGAUGACCUGAGACUCAUGGAGGUCCUGCUCUGUAGGUGAUGCAGCCUGCUCACACCAGGCAGGACACACACCGUCCUUCCACCUGCCACCCUGCACCUUACUACCUGCAGUGUGCACUGGUGUGGUCCAUGCCCCUACCUCCUGAACAGUAGUUCAUGUUCUCACUCCACCAAAGGCGCACCUCUGAGAGAUGUAUUACAGAAUCCAAUCCAAUGAAACUCUGGCCUCAUUCAUCGCAUGAUUGGUGCACCGUUGCUCCCUUUGAGUUGGAAUACGUCGUAGGCUGAGGUGGGAGGCCUGCAGAGCAGCAGCGACUCAGGUGUGCUGCAGGGAGAAUAUGCAGGUGCUCAUCUUGUUCUGCCUAAAUACCUGCUGCGGGCUGAAUGAGCUGGCAGUGGGUGAUGGGGCUAACAGAGUCAACAGAAUCCUGCAGAACCAGGAAAUGUUCACAUGUAUAAAAAUACUAGGAAUAUUUUUGCCUCAUGAAAAAAGAUGAACUUCUAUCUUUUAGGAAACAAAUUGCUUUGGAAACUCUAUUCUUAGCUCAAGAACUGGGUAGGGAGGCUUGAAAGAGGCAACCAGGCAGGUAAAGGCAGCAAUGCUAAUAGGAAAGCAGUAGCUCCCCAUCAGCACAGCCAGGCUGAUGAAACUCAGCGCCCUAACCAUGAUAACUAACACUGCAAAAUGCUCCCUAGGGCACUGAUUUUUCCAACUUAGCUGCACAGUGGAGUCACUUGGGGAGCUUUGUAAAAUACUGAUGCUGAGUCUCACCCCAGAGAUUAUGACUUAAUUGGUUUGGGAUGAAUUCUGGGCAUCAGGAUUUUUAAAAUUUCCCCCAGGUGAUUCUAAUGUGCGGCAAAGUUUGAGCCCCUCUGCUAAGCAGGCUUCAUGUUCAUUAACACAUUCAAGCUGCCCAUCGUGGCUCAGCUGGUCCGGUGGUC